This 90-nucleotide non-coding RNA is filed under the name Pseudomonas bubulae. Lineage: Bacteria; Pseudomonadati; Pseudomonadota; Gammaproteobacteria; Pseudomonadales; Pseudomonadaceae. The record is from RNAcentral.
UUUAUGGCGGCUGUACGUGGGAGGUCUUCGGAUCUGCCGGGUUUUGCUCCUAUCUACCGGUCUUGCACACCCGCGUACAGCUGCCACCCU